Molecule: non-coding RNA, 339 nt
Organism: Salvelinus sp. IW2-2015
Lineage: Eukaryota; Metazoa; Chordata; Actinopteri; Salmoniformes; Salmonidae
Source: RefSeq, a predicted model, not a curated record
AGAGAGAGGAGGGGGGCCCUGCCUCUAAAAUGAGUCUCUCUGUAGAGAGAGAGGAGGGGGGCCCUGCCUCUAAAAUGCAUCUCUCUGGGGGACAUGACACCAAAGCUAAGAGACCAAUCAAGCGGAAAGGACCAGCCUCCCCUGUACCAAGCUUGUGUCCAUGAAGAGUGACCGGUCUAUGGAUCAACCUCAACACUUUAGAGAGGGAGACUUUUCUACUGAACAAAGCCCAAUCAAGCGGAAGAGACCAGCCUCCCCUGUACCCAGCUGUGUGUCRAUGAAGAGUGACAAGUCUAUGGAGCAACCUAUAAACUUUAGAGAGGGAGACMUUUCUACUGA